Molecule: ribosomal RNA, 465 nt
Filed under: uncultured bacterium
Lineage: Bacteria
Description: partial 16S ribosomal RNA
Rfam family: Bacterial small subunit ribosomal RNA
Source: RNAcentral
CUACGGGAGGCUGCAGUGAGGAAUUUUGCGUAAUGGGGGAAACCCUGACGCAGCGACGCCGCGUGGGUGAUGAAGGCUUUCGAGUCGUAAAGCCCUGUCAAGUGGGAAGAAAGGCAUGGUGGUGAACAGCCAAUGUGUUUGACGGUACUACUAAAGGAAGCACCGGCUAACUCCGUGCCAGCAGCCGCGGUAAUACGGAGGGUGCAAGCGUUGUUCGGAAUUACUGGGCGUAAAGGGCGCGUAGGCGGCGCUGUAAGUCAGAUGUGAAAGUCCACGGCUCAACCGUGGAAGUGCAUCUGAUACUGCAGUGCUUGAGUAUCGGAGGGGAAAGUAGAAUUCCCGGUGUAGAGGUGAAAUUCGUAGAUAUCGGGAGGAAUACCGGUGGCGAAGGCAGCUCUCUGGCCUGAUACUGACGCUGAGGUGCGAAAGCGUGGGGAGCAAACAGGAUUAGAUACCCCAGUAGUC